Molecule: long non-coding RNA, 952 nt
Organism: Rhincodon typus (whale shark)
Lineage: Eukaryota; Metazoa; Chordata; Chondrichthyes; Orectolobiformes; Rhincodontidae
Exons: 3
Source: RefSeq, a predicted model, not a curated record
CCCUUCAUCAGAAAAGCUUUUCUCCAGCAUCUGCAGUUCCUACUAUCUCUGGAAGAACAACUGCUCACUUUAAUACCUGAGACCUUUCAUGGAGUAAAAUGUUUUUAAAAAGCAAGAGGCACUGGCUUAAAAUGACUGCAGCAAACACUUGACCACAGAUUGAGGAAAGUUCAGAAAACCAAGGAAGAAGAAACAAAAUGAUCAGAACUGAAUUUACUAUUUUACCGACAUUGGAACCAGUCACUGAGCCUUGUGACAAAAAACUGGCAUCUCCUGUUUCAGUGUGUAUGUGGAUGGCCUCCCACUUGCCAGUUGGAGCUGCAGGAACACAACAGGCCAGGCAGCAUCAGAGGAGCAGGAAAGUUUACGUUUUGGGGCAAAAUCCCUCCACACAAACCUGACCUGUUGAAAAGACAUACAUUUGACACUGGAACCAACCCAACAAUAAGGAAGAUUGUCUCCUCGUGACCAAGCCACAAAAAUCAAGAUAAAUCUCACAGGCCAAUGAAAGGCAUAUGAAGCAACUUUUUCACGCAAAGGGUGGUGUGUAUGUGGAAUGAGCUGCCCAGACGACGUGGUGGAGGCUGGCAAAAAUGACAAAGUUUAAAAGGCAUCUGGAUUGGUGUAUGAAUUGGAAGAGUUUAAAGGGAUAUGGGCCGAAUGCUGGUAAAUGGGAUUAGAUUAAUUUAGAAUAGCUUGUUGGCAUGGACAAUUCGGUGGUAGCUUCUGUUACCGUGCUAUACAUCUCUAUGAUUCUGUCACAGUAUAUCGAAUUUAGGGAGAUGAAUUCCUGAUGGGUCUUGUAUAUUCAUAUUUUUUGACAAAUAUCUGUUCUUUCCAGCAAUUGGUGUAAUUAAUAUCUCCAAAUCAUUUUAUGGCUCAGAUCAUUUGAGAAUCGAGAUUCUUCUUGUAAUCAAACACUCAGUACUGACAAUAAAAUUAUUUCCAGAAA